This 441-nucleotide ribosomal RNA is filed under the name uncultured bacterium. Its description in RNAcentral is "partial 16S ribosomal RNA". It matches the Rfam family "Bacterial small subunit ribosomal RNA", at positions 338 to 795 of the family's 1533-position model. The record is from RNAcentral.
CCUACGGGAGGCAGCAGUGGGGAAUAUUGCACAAUGGGGGAAACCCUGAUGCAGCGACGCCGCGUGAGUGAAGAAGUAUUUCGGUAUGUAAAGCUCUAUCAGCAGGGAAGAAGAAAGACGGUACCUGACUAAGAAGCCCCGGCUAACUACGUGCCAGCAGCCGCGGGAAUACGUAGGGGGCAAGCGUUAUCCGGAUUUACUGGGUGUAAAGGGAGCGUAGACGGCUGUGCAAGUCUGAAGUGAAAGCCCAGGGCUCAACCCUGGGACUGCUUUGGAAACUGUGGAGCUAGAGUGCUGGAGAGGUAAGUGGAAUUCCUAGUGUAGCGGUGAAAUGCGUAGAUAUUAGGAGGAACACCAGUGGCGAAGGCGGCUUACUGGACAGUAACUGACGUUGAGGCUCGAAAGCGUGGGGAGCAAACAGGAUUAGAUACCCCGGUAGUC